GGGCCAGUAGCUCAGCGGUAGAGCAGGGGACUCUUAAUCCCUUUGUCGUGGGUUCGAAUCCCUCCUGGCUCA
RNAcentral lists this transfer RNA (72 nucleotides) under Chloroflexota bacterium. Its description in RNAcentral is "tRNA-Lys". It matches the Rfam family "tRNA". From Rfam's summary of the family: Transfer RNA (tRNA) molecules are approximately 80 nucleotides in length. Their secondary structure includes four short double-helical elements and three loops (D, anti-codon, and T loops). RNAcentral also lists the same sequence under 1 other name. The record is from RNAcentral. Lineage: Bacteria; Bacillati; Chloroflexota.